RNAcentral lists this ribosomal RNA (522 nucleotides) under uncultured bacterium. Its description in RNAcentral is "bacterial SSU rRNA". It matches the Rfam family "Archaeal small subunit ribosomal RNA", at positions 345 to 866 of the family's 1478-position model. The record is from RNAcentral.
AACCUCCGCAAUGUACGAAAGUGCGACGGGGGGAUCCCAAGUGUUAUGCUUUUUUGUAUAACUUUUCAUUAGUGUAAAAAAGCUUUUAGAAUAAGAGCUGGGCAAGACCGGUGCCAGCCGCCGCGGUAACACCGGCAGCUCUAGUGGUAGCUGUUUUUAUUGGGCCUAAAGCGUUCGUAGCCGGUUUGAUAAGUCUUUGGUGAAAGCUUGUAGCUUAACUAUAAGAAUUGCUGGAGAUACUAUUAGACUUGAGAUCGGGAGAGGUUAGAGGUACUCCCAGGGUAGAGGUGAAAUUCUGUAAUCCUGGGAGGACCGCCUGUUGCGAAGGCGUCUAACUGGAACGGUUCUGACGGUGAGGGACGAAAGUUAGGGGCGCGAACCGGAUUAGAUACCCGGGUAGUCCUAACCGUAAACGAUGCGGACUUGGUGUUGGGAUGGCUUUGAGCUGCUCCGGUGCCGAAGGGAAGCUGUUAAGUCCGCCGCCUGGGAAGUACGGUCGCAAGACUGAAACUUAAAGGAAUU